UGAGGAAUAUUGGUCAAUGGGCGAGAGCCUGAACCAGCCAAGUCGCGUGAAGGAUGAAGGUUCUAUGGAUUGUAAACUUCUUUUAUUCGAGGGUAAAGUGAGGUACGUGUACCUUAUUGCAAGUAUCGAAUGAAUAAGCAUCGGCUAACUCCGUGCCAGCAGCCGCGGUAAUACGGAGGAUGCGAGCGUUAUCCGGAUUUAUUGGGUUUAAAGGGUGCGUAGGCGGAUUAUUAAGUCAGCGGUGAAAGCGUGUGGCUCAACCAUACAAUUGCCGUUGAUACUGGUAGUCUUGAGUGUAAACGAGGUAGGCGGAAUUCCUAGUGUAGCGGUGAAAUG
Molecule: ribosomal RNA, 336 nt
Filed under: uncultured Porphyromonadaceae bacterium
Lineage: Bacteria; Pseudomonadati; Bacteroidota; Bacteroidia; Bacteroidales; Porphyromonadaceae
Description: bacterial SSU rRNA
Rfam family: Bacterial small subunit ribosomal RNA
Source: RNAcentral